Long non-coding RNA from Myotis myotis, 418 nucleotides. RefSeq lists it as uncharacterized. The transcript is spliced from 3 exons. Lineage: Eukaryota; Metazoa; Chordata; Mammalia; Chiroptera; Vespertilionidae. The record is from RefSeq and is a predicted model, not a curated record.
CCAUACUCCCCCAGAGCGCCAGAUGGGAAGCAUCAGCCCUGUCUCCGCUGAGAGCUGCCAUGGGAGAGGCUCCUGGAGCUGCUAGCGGCCAGGGGAGGAUGCAAGGAGCUGGUUUCAAAGCACCAACCCAGGGAGACCCACCGAGGAAGCUGCUGCCUCAGAGACCCGAAGGCAGAGGAGCUGCUGAGGCUGGGAACAGGGGGCCGGAACAAGAGGGAAGGAAGAGGAAAACAAUGCCACACAAAGACAAACCCCGCACGCCCCCAUGGAGACACAAUGUUCCUGGGACACAUGACCAGAACAGUCACCUCCAAGGCACUGUCUACUGAAACUACUAGACCUAACAGAACAGAAAUCCUUUGGCCAAGUAACUUAUACGGCAUCAGAAUGCUACAGAAUACCUUGAAGCCGAAACAUA